Zea mays is the source of this 583-nucleotide long non-coding RNA. RefSeq lists it as uncharacterized. Lineage: Eukaryota; Viridiplantae; Streptophyta; Magnoliopsida; Poales; Poaceae. The record is from RefSeq and is a predicted model, not a curated record. The transcript has 3 exons.
CUAAAAUAAGAAAAAUUCGGAAUCCUCACCCCGCGCACACCGCAGUAGCAGGCGGUGCCGCCCCCAAUGGGGGCUGACUGGGCGUGGGAGAUGUGGGCCGUGAAGCACGUCGGCCCCUCCGGGAAGCCGGUCCAGGCUGCGCUGCUGCUCAACUACGCCCCCUCCGGGCCAUCUCGGCUCCUUCCCGUCGUAGUAGAGCAAGAGAGAAGACAACUUUCAGCUUUUGAUAUGCAACCAUUCCUGGACUUUGUCAAGAGGGGCAAUCUGCAGACUGAAUUCUUUUCUGUUGGGCCGACCUAUGUGUGAACUUAAUUUUGUUUAUAUGACAUGUCAAAUUGAUUGCCAUUGUUGUGGCCAGCAAUUUGUGACAGAAAAUUAUGAUUUGUACAUUUGGUCACGUCAAUCCAUGAGAACUGGUUUUGUGCCUGUUGCAUUAAUAGCACAAAGUCAGGAGGUGAAGGAGUAAUAGCUAUGCAGAUUGGAGCUUACUUGAUAGUCUCUAUGUAUGUACUUUUUCUUCAACUUUCAAUUCAUGGAAAUUGGUUGCCAUAUUUUUUAACAUAUUGCUAUUUAAUUCAUACCA